This 329-nucleotide unclassified non-coding RNA is filed under the name Coprinopsis sp. RNAcentral describes it as "partial internal transcribed spacer region". The stretch from base 1 to 46 matches the Rfam family "Eukaryotic small subunit ribosomal RNA", at positions 1786 to 1831 of the family's 1831-position model. The record is from RNAcentral. Lineage: Eukaryota; Fungi; Basidiomycota; Agaricomycetes; Agaricales; Psathyrellaceae.
AAGUCGUAACAAGGUUUCCGUAGGUGAACCUGCGGAAGGAUCAUUAUUGAAUAAAUCUGGCGUUGGGUUGUAGCUGGCUCUCCGGAGCAUGUGCACACCCUCGUCAUCUUUAUCUUUCCACCUGUGCACACACUGUAGUCCUGGAUACCCCUCGCCGAAAGGCGGAUGCAGAGCUUGCUGUGACUUUGGAGACAAAGGCCGGCUUGCACUGAAUUUCCAGGUCUACGAUUUUUUAUACACCCCAUAAACGAAUGUUAUAGAAUGUACAUCACUGGGCCUCUGUGCCUAUAAACCUUAUACAACUUUCAACAACGGAUCUCUUGGCUCUC